AGAGAGAGAGAGAGAGAGAGAGAGAGAGAGAGAGAGAGAGAGAGAGAGAGAGAGAGACUAUGCACCAAUUCCCAUAUUCAUACACCCUCCAAUGCAUCGACUGUUUCAAUCUGUAAAAAUAAUGUUCGGAUAAUGUCCUUCUUAUACUUGGCGGAGUUUGGUGUAGUUGGUGAUAGGCGAAGUGUAAUUAAUGGACUGCGAAUUGUUCGAAACGGCUUCAAAACCAAACGAAGCUCAGCAAAGUGAAGCCGCCGUGAGAGCAAGGGAGUCAGUUGGACAGAGUAGGCGGCGCGGGUGGUUGUGGAGAAAACGAGAGGAUGAUCGGAGGGACGGAGAGAGGACGACACCAUUCACUGUAAAUGCUACUCUGGACUUGAGGACUAUGAACCAUGCCUAACUGUAACCAUACAUUAAGAACAACAACAAAAAAGUAGCAUGGAAGGUCUUGAUCAAGAAAGGCUGCAUGUUCACCCAGAGGAAGAUCCCUGCCACAGCCUUGUGAACCUUCACUCCACACCCCUGGAGGGACUCGCAGACCUUUUUGUACGCAGCAGCUAACCUCUCUUUGUUGUGAAUUUCAUCCACAAGAUAGGGGCCCUUCGACCUCAACACCCAUCGAGGGCAUCAACAAAGCCUGGAAUUUAAGUUUUUUUUGGGUGUGGUUCAUAUGAACUGUAUAAAAGUUAUGCUUUUUAUUACUAAAUCAUAGAAGGGAAGUCCACUCGGGGUGGAAAACUGUCUUUUAUAAAAAUGUGCUCUCAGUGAUCCUACAUCAAUAUUCUGUACUCACUCUACCAAAGGUCAUUAUAGUCUUCAACUUAACGUUAAAAACAGGUAAGGGUAUGUACUUUACAAGGAUACUUCAUUCAGUUACGUGAGUGAAGGUAUGAAAGGUUGAAGUGAGGUAUGUUUUUGCCUGAAUAUGCCUGCGCGGGAGGACAGGCACGGCAAAAUAAGCCCACGCCUUAAGGGUUAAAGGAUACAGAUAAAAUUGUCAAGUAAAAAAACAACAAGACAGGUAAGAGUGGCAGAAAAAAUGUACAUUGAAAUGUACAAUAACCAGGAUAGGCAUGAUAACAAUGAAGAGAAUAAAGCAAUAAACUUGGACUCAAAAGAACAAAGGACAAAAGUAGAGAAAGGAAAAAAGCAAGAAAACAAAUGGGUAAGGUUCAAGCAGAAGGAAUACAUGGUUGAACCAUGACCCUAACCAAAGUCGGUGGCAAUUUCAGUCUGCCACAGUGGGGGAAAAAAAAAGGUAAUCCUGAACUGUGAGAAUGGUGGAAAAAUUGAAAUACAAUAAUGAUUGUGACAAUGAAUGCAAUGCUGGUAAGUGAAAUGAAACA
Eriocheir sinensis (Chinese mitten crab) is the source of this 1343-nucleotide long non-coding RNA. RefSeq lists it as uncharacterized. The record is from RefSeq and is a predicted model, not a curated record. The transcript is spliced from 4 exons. NCBI's taxonomy places the organism in Eukaryota, Metazoa, Arthropoda, Malacostraca, Decapoda, Varunidae.